AUAAAAACGUUGAAGAAAACAUGUCGCUUGACAAGUUAUGUUAAAAGAGAGCCAAUGUUGGUGUAAGUUGGCAACAUAAGUUAGGUGGUACUAUUUCCGAGUGUGCUGUGAUAUAAAUGGCAACGUUUCCCGCGUUAAGGGAUAUGAGUGUAGCAGUUAUGCUGUUAUGAAUUCGGGUGGUACCGCGUACAAGCGCCCCGUUA
RNAcentral lists this non-coding RNA (203 nucleotides) under Weissella paramesenteroides. Its description in RNAcentral is "T-box sequence". It matches the Rfam family "T-box leader". Rfam says of the family: Uncharged tRNA acts as the effector for transcription antitermination of genes in the T-box leader family. The record is from RNAcentral. Lineage: Bacteria; Bacillati; Bacillota; Bacilli; Lactobacillales; Lactobacillaceae.